UUUUGGACAAUGGGCGCAAGCCUGAUCCAGCCAUUCCGCGUGAGUGAAGAAGGCCUUCGGGUUGUAAAGCUCUUUCGCAAGGGAAGAAAACUUACUUUCUAAUAAAGAGUGAGGUUGACGGUACCUUGAUAAGAAGCACCGGCUAACUACGUGCCAGCAGCCGCGGUAAUACGUAGGGUGCGAGCGUUAAUCGGAAUUACUGGGCGUAAAGCGUGCGCAGGCGGCUUUGUAAGUCAGAUGUGAAAUCCCCGAGCUCAACUUGGGAACUGCGUUUGAAACUACAAGGCUAGAAUAUGUCAGAGGGGGGUAGAAUUUCACGUGUAGCAGUGAAAUGCGUAGAGAUGUGGAGGAAUACCAAUGGCGAAGGCAGCCCCCUGGGAUUUAUAUUGACGCUCAUGCACGAAG
This 405-nucleotide ribosomal RNA is filed under the name uncultured bacterium. RNAcentral describes it as "bacterial SSU rRNA". It matches the Rfam family "Bacterial small subunit ribosomal RNA", at positions 362 to 758 of the family's 1533-position model. The record is from RNAcentral.